This 459-nucleotide ribosomal RNA is filed under the name uncultured bacterium. RNAcentral's name for it is "partial 16S ribosomal RNA". It matches the Rfam family "Bacterial small subunit ribosomal RNA", at positions 338 to 795 of the family's 1533-position model. The record is from RNAcentral.
CCUACGGGAGGCAGCAGUGAGGAAUAUUGGUCAAUGGGCUCGAGCCUGAACCAGCCAAGUCGCGUGAGGGAAGACGGUCCUAUGGAUUGUAAACCUCUUUUGUCGGGGAGCAAAAGACGCCACGCGUGGCGUUCCGAGAGUACCCGAAGAAAAAGCAUCGGCUAACUCCGUGCCAGCAGCCGCGGUAAUACGGAGGAUGCGAGCGUUAUCCGGAUUUAUUGGGGUUAAAGGGUGCGCAGGCGGAAGGUCAAGUCAGCGGUAAAAUUGAGAGGCUCAACCUCUUCGAGCCGUUGAAACUGGUGUUCUUGAGUGAGCGAGAAGUAUGCGGAAUGCGUGGUGUAGCGGUGAAAUGCAUAGAUAUCACGCAGAACUCCGAUUGCGAAGGCAGCAUACCGGCGCUCAACUGACGCUCAUGCACGAAAGUGUGGGUAUCGAACAGGAUUAGAUACCCCAGUAGUC